GAUUCCCCUAGUAACUGCGAGUGAAGCGGGAAAAGCUCAAAUUUAAAAUCUGGCAGUCUUUGGCUGUCCGAGUUGUAAACUAGAGAAGUGUUACCCGCGUCGGACCGUGUACAAGUCUCCUGGAAUGGAGCAUCAUAGAGGGUGAGAAUCCCGUCUUUGACAUGGACUACCGAGGCUUUUGUGGUGCGCUCUCAACGAGUCGAGUUGUUUGGGAAUGCAGCUCAAAAUGGGUGGUAAAUUCCAUCUAAAGCUAAAUAUUGGCGAGAGACCGAUAGCGAACAAGUACCGUGAGGGAAAGAUGAAAAGAACUUUGGAAAGAGAGUUAAACAGUACGUGAAAUUGCUGAAAGGGAAACGCUUGAAGUCAGUCGCGUUGGCCGGAAAUCAACCCUGCUUCUGUUGGGUGUACUUUCUGGUUGACGGGCCAGCAUCAGUUUUGACCGGUGGAAAAAGUCCAAGGGAAUGUGGCAUCUCCGGAUGUGUUAUAGCCCUUGGUCGUAUACAUCGGUUGGGACUGAGGAAUUCAGCACGCCGCAAGGCCGGGUUUCGGACCACGUUCGUGCUUAGGAUGCUGGCAUAAUGGCUUUAAUCGACCCGUCUUGAAACACGGACCAAGGAGUCUAACAUACCUGCGAGUGUUUGGGUGGAAAACCCGGACGCGUAAUGAAAGUGAAAGUCAGGAUCCCUGUCAUGGGGAGCACUGGCGCCCGCACCUGAAGUUUACGGACGGAUGUGAGGUAAAGCAUGUAUGCUAGGACCCGAAAGAUGGUGAACUAUGCCUGAAUAGGGUGAAGCCAGAGGAAACUCUGGUGGAGGCUCGUAGC
This 823-nucleotide ribosomal RNA is filed under the name Coprinopsis cinerea. RNAcentral's name for it is "eukaryotic LSU rRNA". It matches the Rfam family "Eukaryotic large subunit ribosomal RNA", at positions 73 to 881 of the family's 3401-position model. The record is from RNAcentral. Lineage: Eukaryota; Fungi; Basidiomycota; Agaricomycetes; Agaricales; Psathyrellaceae.